Long non-coding RNA from Acinonyx jubatus (cheetah), 1530 nucleotides. RefSeq lists it as uncharacterized. The record is from RefSeq and is a predicted model, not a curated record. NCBI's taxonomy places the organism in Eukaryota, Metazoa, Chordata, Mammalia, Carnivora, Felidae. The transcript has 3 exons.
CUAUUUUAAUUAUCUAACUUAACGCAGUCUUCACAAAUAGUAGUAAACCUUCUACGUCAGGGAGAACUAGGCUGGCCGACCAGUGGGUUGGAAUGCCUCAAAUGUGAGUUUCAUCUGUGGAAAAUUGGGGCUUGCAAAAUUAGUGCUGUUGGAUGAUUCUGGUCACCCAGGUAUUCAUGUUUAUUUUGAAAAUUAAGGGAUCUGGUCUCAGUGUGAACAGAGCAACAGAAAGCAGUUUGUAUGGUUAUCAAAAUAUUGUCAGUACUACAGACAAUAGGGUAAGCCUGGCCACCAUGAAGGAGAAUUCCAAGCCUCAAGGUAGAAGACAAGAGGGAGAGCUUGAUUUUUGAGUCUCUAUAAAUCGGUGCAACUUCUAGAAAGACUGAAUCACUGGUUUUCAGGUUAUCAACAGCAGCAUGUACCACAUCAUUUUGGACAUAAGGUUUGUGGCUGACAAACCAAUUAGUUGUGAGCUCCUAGGUGUUAGGGAUUGUGCUAGACUCACUUUCAGCCCUAGCGUUUAGCACAGCACCUGAAACAUAGAAAGUCCUUAAUAAAUACUGUUCAGAGCUACUGCUUGAGGCACAACUGUCAACAGGGACAAUCAUAAAGCUCUACAGAAGCAAGUAAUUUAGUUCACUCAAGAUUCUUCUCCCUACCGGUCUUACCCAAGAUGAAUAGCAAAGGAGUAUUUUGAUUGGGGGAGGGUGAAAGUGUGGAUGGUUUUAUAAAUGAAGACAGAUCAAUAAUAUUAUAGCGAUGGUCAUUUCUUAUGUAUCUAAUAUUUCAUAAAGGAAAAAAAUUCAGAAGAAGAAAGAGUAGAAAGAGGAAUCUGUGAUCUUUUCAAUUAAUGUAAUGGAGAUCUCAAUUUAGCUCGAACAGCCCAACAUGCCUGGGCCUGUCUAUUGAAUUGGUGGGAGCAGCUGCCAGAGGCCUGUUUGCUUAUGGAUUGAGGGUCCUCUUGGGAGAGUUCUCAUUCUGAAGGAAGAAGUUGCCUGGCAACAAGUCUGACCCCUGGAGACUGACUUACCCAACGGAGGAGCAAGGAAGCCUGAGUACAGUGUGGUAUCUGUCAUCCAGAUCCAUCUCCCAGCUGGAUAAGUUGAAUGGAAAUCCUCAAUCCCCUACACAAAUUACAGGGUGAAAAUAGAUGCUUGCAGAGGUGAGGACAAGGAUGCGGCCCAUUUCCAUCUCCAGCCCCACCAUGGAUCCAAAAGGAAAUCUGAAGAAAGAAAAAAGAAAAAUGGACCAUCAGACCAUGGCUUCCACCUUUUGCUUACAAAAUAUGUUCAUAAUACAUAUGUGACUUACCUAGCAUUUUCCCUGUGAUACCAAGUGGAGGUAGGGGAAAGGAAAGAAUAUGCACUCCCAGGCAAAGCUUUGGCAGAUGAAAAUUUAACUUGAAGACCUCACCAUCCCUUUUCUGCUACCUUUUCCCAACCAUGAUGUGUCCCUCUCCCUGAGAGCUCCUGUCCCUUAUGACUCCAUGCCUCUUGAGGCUCUGCUCCAGAAAGCCUUUAACAAGUUUAC